UACGUAGGGGGCAAGCGUUGUCCGGAAUUAUUGGGCGUAAAGAGCGUGUAGGCGGCUUGGUAAGUCUGGUGUGAAACCUUGGGGCUUAACCCCAAGCCUGCACUGGAUACUGCCUCGCUAGAGUCCGGGAGGGGAGAGCGGAAUUCCCAGUGUAGCGGUGAAAUGCGCAGAUAUUGGGAAGAACACCAGUGGCGAAGGCGGCUCUCUGGAACGGUACUGACGCUGAGACGCGAAAGCGUGGGGAGCGAACAGG
RNAcentral lists this ribosomal RNA (253 nucleotides) under uncultured bacterium. RNAcentral describes it as "partial 16S ribosomal RNA". It matches the Rfam family "Bacterial small subunit ribosomal RNA", at positions 524 to 776 of the family's 1533-position model. The record is from RNAcentral.